Molecule: signal recognition particle RNA, 87 nt
Filed under: Acinetobacter baumannii
Lineage: Bacteria; Pseudomonadati; Pseudomonadota; Gammaproteobacteria; Moraxellales; Moraxellaceae
Also listed under: 3 other names
Description: Bacterial small signal recognition particle RNA
Rfam family: Bacterial small signal recognition particle RNA
About the family: The signal recognition particle (SRP) is a universally conserved ribonucleoprotein involved in the co-translational targeting of proteins to membranes.
Source: RNAcentral
UGGUGGCUUCGCAAUUGUACUCUGUGAACCCCGCCAGGACCGGAAGGUAGCAACGGUAGCAGAUCUAUGAUGUGCCGAAGUUUUGCU